This 442-nucleotide ribosomal RNA is filed under the name uncultured PVC group bacterium. RNAcentral describes it as "bacterial SSU rRNA". It matches the Rfam family "Bacterial small subunit ribosomal RNA", at positions 1087 to 1525 of the family's 1533-position model. Lineage: Bacteria; Pseudomonadati. The record is from RNAcentral.
UCGGCACGAGCGCACCCACGUCACUAUUUGCCAUCAGGUUAUGCUGGGAACUAUAGUGUGACUGCCCGUGUUAAACGGGAGGAAGGCGUGGACGACGUCAAGUCAGUAUGGCCCUUAUGUCCAGGGCUGCACACGUGCUACAAUGGUCGGUCCAGAGGGAUGCCAAACCGCGAGGUGGAGCAAAUCCGUAAAGCCGGCCUUAGUUCGGAUUGUAGUCUGCAACUCGACUACAUGAAGUUGGAAUCGCUAGUAAAGGCGUAUCAGCUAUGACGCCUUGAAUACGUUCCCGGGUCUUGUACACACCGCCCGUCACAUCAUGGAAGCGGAUUGCACCCGAAGCCAGUGGUCUAACCCUUUAUUGGGAGGAAGCUGUCGAAGGUGUGGUUGGUAACUGGGAUGAAGUCGUAACAAGGUAGCCGUAGGGGAACCUGCGGCUGGAUCA